GAUGAACGCUGGCGGCGUGCCUAAUACAUGCAAGUCGAGCGAACAGAUGAGGAGCUUGCUCCUCUGACGUUAGCGGCGGACGGGUGAGUAACACGUGGAUAACCUACCUAUAAGACUGGGAUAACUUCGGGAAACCGGCGCUAAUACCGGAUAAUAUAUUGAACCGCAUGGUUCAUUAGUGAAAGACGGUUUUGCUGUCACUUAUAGAUGGUUCCGCGCCGCAUUAGCUAGUUGGUAAGGUAAAGGCUUACCAAGGCAACGAUGCGUAGCCGAACUGAGAGGGUGAUCGGCCACACUGGAACUGAGACACGGUCCAGACUCCUACGGGAGGCAGCAGUAGGGAAUCUUCCGCAAUGGGCGAAAGCCUGACGGAGCAACGCCGCGUGAGUGAUGAAGGUCUUCGGAUCGUAAAACUCUGUUAUUAGGGAAGAACAAAUGUGUAAGUAACUAUGCACGUCUUGACGGUACCUAAUCAGAAAGCCACGGCUAACUACGUG
RNAcentral lists this ribosomal RNA (497 nucleotides) under uncultured bacterium. Its description in RNAcentral is "partial 16S ribosomal RNA". It matches the Rfam family "Bacterial small subunit ribosomal RNA", at positions 28 to 507 of the family's 1533-position model. The record is from RNAcentral.